GUCAGUAUAUUUACAUUUGGUGUAUAGUAAUGGUGUUAGAAAAUCACUGUUUUCCGGUUGUAAUUUGUUUUAAAAGUCUUAUUGACCGAUCGCGAAUCAUGCCCAGUGUAUGUGCAGCGUACAAUUGCGCUAAUAGAAGUGAUAAAACAACUGGAAUAUCAUAUUUCAGAUUUCCUCUGAAAAAGAAAGAGUUGUCAAGUCGGUGGGUAGCCAAUAUGAGGCGAGAUAAGUGGCAGCCACCUCAAUAUAGCUACAUAUGCUUGUUUCACUUUGAAGAUACAUGUAUAAGGCGACUUCUGGCAAACGCAGUACCGACAAUAUUUUCGUUUCCUGACCACCUGCAGAAAACAACUGUAGUAUAGAGACAACCAAGGAAGUGGCCUGUCAAUGAAGAAUCAGUUUCUUAUCAAAUGAACCAGGUGAAAGAGGGAAUCAGAAUAAUCAUACAGAUCAUUCUUACUCUUUGCCUAGCCCCAAAAUACUGAAACAGAAUUAUGAAGCACUACAGAAAAGGACUGAGAAGCUGAGGAAGCAAGCUAAACCUGCAAG
Long non-coding RNA from Schistocerca cancellata (South American locust), 549 nucleotides. RefSeq lists it as uncharacterized. Lineage: Eukaryota; Metazoa; Arthropoda; Insecta; Orthoptera; Acrididae. The record is from RefSeq and is a predicted model, not a curated record. The transcript has 3 exons.